GGUUAAGUUAAUAAGGGCGCACGGUGGAUGCCUUGGCACUAGAAGCCGAUGAAGGACGUGACUAACGACGAAAUGCUUUGGGGAGCUGUAAGUGAGCAAUGAUCCAGAGAUGUCCGAAUGGGGGAACCCGGCAGGUAAUGCCUGUCACUCAUUACUGUUAAGGUAAUGUAGAGGAAGACGCAGUGAACUGAAACAUCUAAGUAGCUGUAGGAAGAGAAAGCAAAAGCGAUUGCCUUAGUAGCGGCGAGCGAAACGGCAAGAGGGCAAACCGAAGAGUUUACUCUUCGGGGUUGUAGGACUGCAACGUGGACUUAAAGAUUAUAGAAGAACUACCUGGGAAGGUAGGCCAAAGAGAGUAAUAGCCUCGUAUUCGAAAUAGUCUUUAUACCUAGCAGUAUCCUGAGUACGGCGAGACACGAGAAAUCUCGUCGGAAUCUGGGAGGACCAUCUCCCAACCCUAAAUACUCUUUAGUGACCGAUAGUGAACCAGUACCGUGAGGGAAAGGUGAAAAGCACCCCGGGAGGGGAGUGAAAUAGAACCUGAAACCGUGUGCCUACAACAAGUUCGAGCCCGUUAAUGGGUGAGAGCGUGCCUUUUGUAGAAUGAACCGGCGAGUUACGAUAUGAUGCGAGGUUAAGUUGAAGAGACGGAGCCGUAGGGAAACCGAGUCUUAAUAGGGCGCAUUAGUAUCAUGUCGUAGACCCGAAACCAUGUGACCUACCCAUGAGCAGGUUGAAGGUGAGGUAAAACUCACUGGAGGACCGAACCAGGGCACGUUGAAAAGUGCUUGGAUGACUUGUGGGUAGCGGAGAAAUUCCAAACGAACUUGGAGAUAGCUGGUUCUCUCCGAAAUAGCUUUAGGGCUAGCGUCGAUGUUAAGUCUCUUGGAGGUAGAGCACUGUUUGGGUGAGGGGUCCAUCCCGGAUUACCAAUCUCAGAUAAACUCCGAAUGCCAAUGAGAUAUAAUCGGCAGUCAGACUGCGAGUGCUAAGAUCCGUAGUCGAAAGGGAAACAGCCCAGACCACCAGCUAAGGUCCCAAAAUAUAUGUUAAGUGGAAAAGGAUGUGGGGUUGCACAGACAACUAGGAUGUUAGCUUAGAAGCAGCUAUUCAUUCAAAGAGUGCGUAAUAGCUCACUAGUCGAGUGACCCUGCGCCGAAAAUGUACCGGGGCUAAAACAUAUUACCGAAGCUGUGGAUACCUUUAUAGGUAUGGUAGGAGAGCGUUCUAUGUGCGAAGAAGGUGUACCGUGAGGAGUGCUGGAGCGCAUAGAAGUGAGAAUGCCGGUAUGAGUAGCGAAAGACAGGUGAGAAUCCUGUCCACCGUAAGACUAAGGUUUCCAGGGGAAGGCUCGUCCGCCCUGGGUUAGUCGGGACCUAAGGAGAGACCGAAAGGUGUAUCCGAUGGACAACAGGUUGAUAUUCCUGUACUAGAGUAUAUAGUGAUGGAGGGACGCAGUAGGCUAACUAAACCAGACGAUUGGAAGUGUCUGGCCAAGCAGUGAGGUGUGAUAUGAGUCAAAUGCUUAUAUCUUUAACAUUGAGCUGUGAUGGGGAGCGAAGUUUAGUAGCGAAGUUAGUGAUGUCACACUGCCGAGAAAAGCUUCUAGCGUUAAUUAUACUCUACCCGUACCGCAAACCGACACAGGUAGUCGAGGCGAGUAGCCUCAGGUGAGCGAGAGAACUCUCGUUAAGGAACUCGGCAAAAUGGCCCCGUAACUUCGGGAGAAGGGGCGCUGACUGAUGGUCAGCCGCAGUGAAUAGGCCCAAGCAACUGUUUAUCAAAAACACAGCUCUCUGCUAAAUCGUAAGAUGAUGUAUAGGGGGUGACGCCUGCCCGGUGCUGGAAGGUUAAGAGGAGUGCUUAGCGUAAGCGAAGGCAUGAAUUGAAGCCCCAGUAAACGGCGGCCGUAACUAUAACGGUCCUAAGGUAGCGAAAUUCCUUGUCGGGUAAGUUCCGACCCGCACGAAAGGCGUAAUGAUUUGGGCACUGUCUCAACGAGAGACUCGGUGAAAUUUUAGUACCUGUGAAGAUGCAGGUUACCCGCGACAGGACGGAAAGACCCCAUGGAGCUUUACUGCAGUUUGAUAUUGAGUAUCUGUACCACAUGUACAGGAUAGGUAGGAGCCUAUGACCUCGGGACGCCAGUUUCGAGUGAGGCGUUGUUGGGAUACUACCCUUGUGUUAUGGCUACUCUAACCCAGAUAGGUUAUCCCUAUCGGGGACAGUGUCUGACGGGCAGUUUGACUGGGGCGGUCGCCUCCUAAAAGGUAACGGAGGCGCCCAAAGGUUCCCUCAGAAUGGUUGGAAAUCAUUCGCAGAGUGUAAAGGUAUAAGGGAGCUUGACUGCGAGAGCUACAACUCGAGCAGGGACGAAAGUCGGGCUUAGUGAUCCGGUGGUUCCGUAUGGAAGGGCCAUCGCUCAACGGAUAAAAGCUACCCUGGGGAUAACAGGCUUAUCUCCCCCAAGAGUUCACAUCGACGGGGAGGUUUGGCACCUCGAUGUCGGCUCGUCGCAUCCUGGGGCUGUAGUCGGUCCCAAGGGUUGGGCUGUUCGCCCAUUAAAGCGGCACGCGAGCUGGGUUCAGAACGUCGUGAGACAGUUCGGUCCCUAUCCGUCGCGGGCGUAGGAAAUUUGAGAGGAUCUGCUCCUAGUACGAGAGGACCAGAGUGGACUUACCGCUGGUGUACCAGUUGUUCUGCCAAGAGCAUCGCUGGGUAGCUAUGUAGGGAAGGGAUAAACGCUGAAAGCAUCUAAGUGUGAAGCCCACCUCAAGAUGAGAUUUCCCAUGAUUUUAUAUCAGUAAGAGCCCUGAGAGAUGAUCAGGUUGAUAGGUUAGAAGUGGAAGUGUGGUGACACAUGUAGCGGACUAAUACUAAUAGCUCGAGGACUUAUCCAA
This 2900-nucleotide ribosomal RNA is filed under the name Streptococcus thermophilus. RNAcentral's name for it is "23S ribosomal RNA". It matches the Rfam family "Bacterial large subunit ribosomal RNA". The record is from RNAcentral. Lineage: Bacteria; Bacillati; Bacillota; Bacilli; Lactobacillales; Streptococcaceae. RNAcentral also lists the same sequence under 2 other names.